ACGCUGGCGGCGCGGAUAAGACAUGCAAGUCGGACGAGACUUUUCGCUGUAGCAAUACGGUGGAAAGUUUAGUGGCGAACGGGUGCUUAACACGUGGGCAACCUGCCGAGAAGUGGGGGAUAGCUCGCCGAAAGGCGAAUUAAUACCGCAUGUGAUUAGAGAGGACAUCCUUUCGAAAUUAAAGUCGGGGCAACCUGACGCUUUUUGUGGGGCCCGCGGCCUAUCAGCUAGUUGGUGAGGUAACGGCUCACCAAGGCUUUGACGGGUAGCUGGUCUGAGAGGACGACCAGCCACACUGGGACUGAGACACGGCCCAGACACCUACGGGUGGCAGCAGUCGAGAAUUUUUGACAAUGGGGGAAACCCUGAUCGAGCGACGCCGCGUGGAGGAUGAAGGUCUUCGGAUUGUAAACUCCUGUCAUUGGGGAACAAGGUGCGUACGUUAACUGCGUGUGCAUUGAUAGUACUCGAAGAGGAAGAGACGGCUAACUCUGUGCCAGCAGCCGCGGUAAUACAGAGGUCUCAAGCGUUGUUCGGAUUCAUUGGGCGUAAAGGGUGCGUA
Molecule: ribosomal RNA, 562 nt
Filed under: uncultured bacterium
Lineage: Bacteria
Description: bacterial SSU rRNA
Rfam family: Bacterial small subunit ribosomal RNA
Source: RNAcentral